This is a long non-coding RNA of Vigna unguiculata (cowpea), 360 nucleotides long. RefSeq lists it as uncharacterized. Lineage: Eukaryota; Viridiplantae; Streptophyta; Magnoliopsida; Fabales; Fabaceae. The record is from RefSeq and is a predicted model, not a curated record.
UUGUCAUUGGCAACUGCUUGUUGUAUCAGGUGCUAGAGCGUACUGCUUUAUGGUUUUGCUCUUGUCAUAGACCUUCUCCCCUAUAUGAAGAGCAUAAUUGAUACUGCUUUUAAUGGACAAAGUAUAUUGAGUGGUAGAUCGACUACCAAUACUAAAAGGGUCACUUGAAUUUUCCUCCGGAAAUUCAAUGACCAAAGUCAGAUGGAUUCAGGAGCAAUAGCUUAUGUUCAACAAACUUGGGCGAAAUACUUUCUAUCUAAAGUUAGUGAAAGUUAGGUUUAGGGAGACUUAGAAGUUUAGACUUAUUUUAUCAUAUGAUAAGUUAUUUGUAACUUUGUUAAAACUGUCUGGAUUGGAACU